GACGAACGCUGGCGGCGCGCUUAACACAUGCAAGUCGAACGGUAAGGCUCUGCUUUUGUGGUGUGCUCGAGUGGCGAACGGGUGUGUAACCCGUCAGUAACCUGCCCCUUACUUUGCGUUACCUUCACGAAACUGGGGCCACUACCGGCCAGGAGCACUUGCUGAAUAGUGGGUAUUGGAACGUUUCGUGGGUUUGGGAUGGACUCGCGGCUUAUCAGCUUGUUCGUGGGGUAGUGGAUUACCAAGGCCUGGACCGGAAGCCGGCCUGGGUGGGUAACCGGACACACUGGGACUGAGAUAAGGCCCAGACUCCUACGGGAGGCAGCAGUGGGGAAGAGAACACUAUGGGCGGAAGCCUGAUGCAGCAACGCCGCGUGCGGGAAGACGGCCAUGGUGUUGUAAACCGCAGUCGCCUGAGACGAGGAGUGAGUGACGGUAAUGGGUAAAGAAGCACCGGCUAACUACGUG
RNAcentral lists this ribosomal RNA (468 nucleotides) under uncultured bacterium. RNAcentral describes it as "partial 16S ribosomal RNA". It matches the Rfam family "Bacterial small subunit ribosomal RNA", at positions 28 to 507 of the family's 1533-position model. The record is from RNAcentral.